UGGCAAAUCAACAACCGACCAGAUAUUCACCAUGCGCCAAAUCGUGGAAAAGACCCUUGAAAGGAGAAUCGACACACACCACCUCUUCGUCGAUUUCACAGCUGCUUUCGAGAGCACGAAAAGUAGCUGCCUUUAUGCCGCGAUGUCUGAAUUUGAUAUCCCCGCAAAACUAAUACGACUGUGUAAACUGACGUUGAGCAACACGAAAAGCUCCGUCAGGAUCGGGAAGGACCUCUCCGAGCCGUUCGAUACCAAACGAGGUUUCAGACAAAAGUCGCCCUAUCAUGCGACUUUUUCAAUCUGCUGCUGGAGAAAAUAAUUCGAGCUGCAGAACUUAAUCGAGCAAGUACAAUUUUUUAUAAGAGUGUACAGCUGCUGGCGUAUGCCGAUGAUAUUGAUAUCAUGGGUAUAAUGGGUCUGGCAGUGAACGAGGGCAAGACGAAAUAUCUCCUGUCAUCAAACAAACAGUCGUCGCACUCCCGACUUGGCUCUCACGUCACUGUUGACAGCCAUAACUUUGAAGUCGUAGAUAAUUUCGUCUAUCUUGGAACCAGCGUAAACACCACCAACAAUAUCAGCCUGGAAAUCCAACGCAGGAUUGCUCUUGCCAACUGGUGCUACUUUGGACUGAGUAGGCAAUUGAAAAGUAAAGUCUUCUCUCGACAAACAAAAGCUAAACUAUAAGUCGCUCAUAAUUCCCGUUCUGCUAUAUGGUGCAGAGGCUUGGACGAUGACAGCAACCGAUGAGUCGGUUUAUGGUGCUUUUGCGCUUUGGCCACAGCGAAUAUCGCAUUCGAUGGAACGAUGAGCUGUACGAGAUAUACGACGACAUUGACAUAGUUCAGCGAAUUAAAAGACAGCGGCUACGCCGGCUAGGUUAUGUUGUCCGGAUGGACGAAAACACUCCAGCUCUGAAAGUAUUCGACGCAGUACCCGCCGGGGGAAGCAGAGGAAGAGAAAGACCUCCACUCCGUUGGAAGGACCAAGUGGAGAAAGACAUGCCUUCGCUUGGAAUAUCCAAUUGGCGCCACGUAGCGAAAGGAAGAAACGACUGGCGCGCUGUUGUUAACUCGGCUAUAAUCGCUUAAGCGGUGUCUACGCCAAUUAAGAAGAAGAAGAAUUUGUGUACUGUGUGGUGAAAGAAUAUUGGAAUUUAAAUUUGUGAUAAUGGGAAGUAAGUGAUUUCGCAUAUUCUCACACUGUGAUAAAAUACAAAUAUAACGUUACGCAUAGAAAUUGUUGAAAGUGAUAGAGUAGUUCCUGAGUUGUUACGCUACGCAAAUUUUCCAAUUUUUACAACGCAUCGCUUGAAACGGUUCAAUUUUAGUAGUAAAAUGGUAUGCUUCUGACAUAUUUAUUUAGGAAUUUAUGGCACCUUGAGCAGUUUUCAACAUAACCAUUUUAGGGUGAGAUGUCAAAAUAGUCCCUUAGCAAGUUUGGUCGACGUAGCUUAUGGUUUAUUGUUGUUUCAUCGCUAUUUUACUCAAGUUGAUACUUGCACAAACGGACGGACAGACAGUCACCCUAAAUUCAACUUGACUCGUCGUAACGAUCUUUUAUAUGUGUACAUACAUAUAUGCCUCUAUAUCGGACGCGAUUUGUUUAGGAUGGUACAAACAACCGUUAGGUGAACCAAAGUAGUCUAUAUGGUUUGUUCGGAAAGUUAUAGGGCUGAUUUUCUUCCGCCGCGAUUGUACUUCGAAGCGUGCGCGCACCUACUGUAUUCGGUUGAGGGCGUUCCUAGCUAACGAUUGAGCGACUGGUCAGUUGUUUCCGAGCACCUGGAGAGUAAUGACAAACAUUUUCUCUCGACGUGUUUCUGUGAGUGGUGCAAGCCGAUAAUGCAACGUUUGUUAGAGCAGAGGUACGCGAUUAAAUUCUGCGUGAAACUCGGUAAAUCUACGACAGAAACGUUUGAAUAACGUAAUCACAGGUUACGAGUCAUGGAUCUUUGAGUAUGAUCCCGAGAUAAAGAGGCAAUCUUCCGAGUGGCACACGGUGGCGUCUCCUCGCCAAAAAAGGGAAGAAUGAGUAGAUCCAAAGUGAAAAUGAUGUUCAUUGUCUUUUUUGACAUCAGAGGAAUCGUUUACCAUGAAUUUAUUCCUCCUAGACAAACCGUGAACGCCAAGUUUUACGUGGAAGUCCUCGAGAGACUCAAACAAAAGGUCAGUCGGACAUGACACCGACAAAAAGAAACCCUGGCCUAGGGGUAAAAAGGUAGGCCCCCCUCCCGAUCUAAUUAAUGAAAACAUGGUUCUGUUGAAAUCUGUUUACUAUCAUGGUUUAGGAACGUGCAACUUAAAUAAUAACAUUUUCAAUUAUUUAGAAACUAGAAUUGACCUUUUCGAAUAUUGACGGCCGCGAAAGCGUCGAUAAUAGUCUGGAAAUCCUAUUUCUUGGUUAAUUCUGCCUCUAGGUACAGCGUAGCUUGUUCUGAAAUCCUACCUUGUUACAAGCUUGAUCGUUGCUAAAGCACCAAACAAACGUUCUCCUAUUUAAAUUAAAACGAGUAAAGUGUAAAAUAGUUUCUAAGUGAUGCAAAUAGUAAGUAAAACGGGUUUCAAAAUUUGGUGUUUUUUUGUGAUCGAUCAGCAAGAAUAGAGAAAGCGAUAUAUCAGCUUAGAAAUCAUUCCUAGAAUUCCUCAUGCCAACAAGUGCUAUUUGUACCAGAUAAUGAAGAAGAUAAAUACUCUUUCAAUGAGGAAAAACAAGAUUUAAUUUUCAUAUCCGAUUAAAUCAUUUCUGAGAUCUUCGUGAUCUAAUUUUGUAUGAGUUGCCAGAGUUUUUUUAAACAAGAACUAUUGCACCCAAAUCAAUUUAUAUAUUGAAAAAUCUUCUAAAUGGGCUGAAAACUCGUUGACCUGAUCCAGAGAUUUUGCCACUAUUAAAAUAUCUCUAUCCUUCUCUUUGGAUAUUAUAUAGUGAAAAAAAUGUUUAGAGUUUGUUUGAUUCCUGAUGUGAAAACGUGAAUGUUAACGCAUAGCAAAGGCUUGUUCCGUGUUACGACAUAUCUGGUGCAGCUCAAAUAAUGCACCCUACUCAGGAAAACCUCAAGAGGCAGUAAUACCAGAAAAGAUCGCGAAUUCAUAAAAUGUUGUUAGAGAUGUCGCCAACUUUAAUCUUUAGCGCAGUCUGUAAUCCUUCAUGCAGGGGCUUUGUAGGGGUUAGUCGCCAGCGAUAAGAGAAGACACUAAUUUUUAAUCCCAAACAUAGCAAUGAAAAAGGUUUCAUCCAAAAAAAUCUGGAAACCCCAAAAAGCGGAUUGAACAAAAAAAUGUUUAAUCCCAAGGUUAUAAUUAAAGUUCAAAAAAAUAAGUUUACAUUUUUUCGCGUUUACGUACGCGUGUACGAAGGAGAACUUUCCUGAUAUUUUGUCCUUUUGCCAAAAAGGUAUAGUGUUAUGUCAAAAUUUUCCCUAACUCCAAUAUACCUAAGAUAAAGAUGCUAUCUUAUUAACUAUCUGUUUACUGCCUUACAUAUCGGCCAAUAUGGGAGACUAUCUAAGUACAUAUCGGUCAAUAUGGAAGACUAUCUAAGCAGUAUAUACAAGUAUAAUGAUUUUCGCUAUUUAUGUCAGAUAAAUCGACCGAUGAUCGUAGAAACAUGUUCUAGAGCAUACUUUUAAUAUACAGUGAAACCUCUACUUGUGGACACCUCCAAUAAGCGAACGCCUCUCUUAACCGGACAAAAAUUCAAGGACCAAGUUCUACUUUGCGUCUUCAGAACAAAUUUCCAUCUAACACCCGGACCCUCUAAUGACCCGGACACAUUUUGAUACUUUUGCAGCCAGUUGCUACAGAGUAUUAUAGUUACGUACGUACCACCUAAAACUAAGCGAGAUAGGUAUAGAGUUAUAUACAUAUGUAUAAAUGAUCAGGAUGACGAGAAAAGUUGAAAUCCAAAUGACUGUCUCUCUGUCUUUCCAUCCGUGCAAGCUGUAACUUGAGUAAAAAUUUAGAUAUCUCGAUGACACUUGGUAUGUGGGUUCCUUAGCAAAAAAAAAGUUUCGAAUUCGUAGAAGAGCGUAAUCGGAAGACUACGUCGCCCACAAAUCGUCAAGGGCCGUAACUAAGCAUCAAAUUAAGAUAUAAAACUGCAAUUUGGCACAGACAAUCUCAGUAACAAGGGGCACCUGUGGGCAAUAUUUUUUGAAAAAGUGGGCGUGGCCCCGCCCUCUAACAAGUUUAAUGUACAUAUCUCUUAAACCACUUAAGUACAAUAACCAAAUUUGCUGAGUACAAAUCUUAUAAGAACCUCAUUCACUCCCCAUAUAACGGUACUGUUGAAAACUAUUAAAAGCGCGACAAAUCAAUAACUAAAUGCGCCAGAAAAGUAAAAAUUUAUAGCCGGGAUAGUAUGACAAGGCUUUAUAGGGGCGGGGUAAAAAUUAAACGAUGGGCGCGGCACUGCCAAUUUUUUGUUAAAAUCCUAUAUUUCGUGACCCAACUGACCAAUUUCGACAAAAUUUGGAACGUGGCAUCAAUCGGACAAUAACCACGCCUACUUCCCAUAUAGCACAAUUUUAAAUUCCACUUAAUUCUUUUACUUCCCAGUACACAAAUCAAGAAGCAAUUAAUAUAAUGGGGUUAAACUUUGCACGAAUAAUGCCUUUAAUGUAUACCAUCUUAUGACAAAAAUCGAAAAUAUGACUUUAGAUCGAAAAUAUCGUUGAAAUCGGGUAAAUUCUUCGCUGAGCCCAUAUACCUAAUAUAAAGAUUUUCGAACUUCCUGAUGACUUUAUGCUGGAUAUAUCGGCCAAUAUUUGAGUUAUCUCAAUGAAAAUUUCAGAACCUAUUUUACUCAUACAGUAUACCAUUCUGCCUAAAAUGGAUACAAUUGACUAUGUAUAAUGAUUAGGGUUCUUCUAACAAAUUGUAUGCCGAAUAUAUAUAUAGAUCAUUGUAUAAGUUAUAUAUAGUGUAUGUAUAUAUAAAGUUUCUUAGAUUCCGAUCCUCUGGUUAACGUUUUACUCCUUAAAUAUUUCCCUGGCUUUAAUUCUAGCAAGUUGCAAGAGUAUAAAAUGUUCGGUUGCACCCGAACUUAGCUCUUCCUUACUUAUUUACUACUUUUUAUUUUCAUUACCUCUCGUAAGCGGACGCGGCCCUCUCGAUAACGGACAAGAAAUUUGAAUUGCUAAACGAAAGUGUAAAAAACAGUAAAAACCUCUGAUAAGCGGACGUGAAACUCUUAUUUGCGGAUAACGAAGACCAAAAGAAAACGGAACAAACAGUAACAUGUUAUGAUGCAACGGGAUCUAUAUUCGUGUUAAUCAAUUAACAGGGAAAAGAUGCCACAAAAAAAGAAAAUACUUUCUAUUAAAGAAAAAAUGGAAAUUUUAAAUGUGUUGGAGAAAGAAAAUUUAUCUGUUCAUGCACUCGGAAAAAGGUUAGUAAAAAUUUCUUUACUUUUAUUUGUUUGCUUUUAAUGAUUCGAUAUUUGAAAAACCCAGGCUGUCACUGUUCUGAAAAAAAGGAAGACAUUAAAGGGAUAUGGUUGAGUGGAGAUAACAUAAGUAAAUAAAAAGAAAAACUUCUUAAAUAGUGAUGGUUCAAAAAUAGACAAUUUGUGCGGGUCAAUUAGGAGCAUCAAAUGGAUGGUUGGAAAAAUGGCGGAAAGGACAUAAUGUGACUUUCAAAUGCAUAUGUGGAGAAUCUGCUGAGGUUAAUCCUGAGGAUGUACAUACAUCAAUUCAAACAAAAGCUACCAGACUUAUUAUUGGGCUACAGACCAGAAGAUACAUAUAUUUAACGCAGAUGAAACUGAAGCGAUUAUUGAAAGAAAGAUUAACAGUGCUAUUGUGUGUCAAUAUGGCUGGAGAUAAAGAAAAACCGUUAGUGUUCGGAGAAGCAACAUGCCCUCGAGCGUUAAAAAAUUGCGAUUGAGGAAGGCCGCCAGUUGAAUGGAAGUCAAAAAUCGAAAGCUUGGAUGUUUCGUGAAAUUACGUGUGAGCGCUACUAACGUUUGAUAAAAAAUGGGCUAUUUUUGGACAAUAUCACAAUUCACGCUCAGAAUAUUAAACUUAAUAACAUAAAGUUGAUCUUUUUACCUGCUAAUACAACAUCCGUUUGUCAGCCCCUUGAUCAGGGCAUUAUACAGUAUUUCAAAUGUCACUUCAGAUGCAAUAUUAUAAAACAUAUAUUGACAAGAGUAGACGACAUUUCAAUGAACAAACUUUAAAAAAUAUUUGACAUUUUGGAGGCUGUUUAUUUUAUUAAUACUGCAUGGGACAAUGUAACAAUGGAAACAAUAAAAAACUGCUUUUCAAAAGCUGGUUUUUAAACUUCGAUGCAGAGGACGAUAUUGCCAUAUUGACGUUAUCGGCUUUGAUAAAGAUUUUAAAUUAAAAUGUGGAAGGGCAGCAUUCCGACGACUUCUUGUUAAUCAACGAAAUUGUGACUACAGAUGACAAUAAUAUUGACAUUAUCAUUGACGAAAAUGUUACAAAGGAAUUAUCUGAUAAAGAAACCGAAGACCUAAAUGAAGUAUGCUCCCAAUAAAUAAUGUAUGUAGAAUUUAUUAUAACUAUGAAAUAUCUGACAAUAAAAAUGAAAUAUGUAAAUAAUGA
This is a long non-coding RNA of Bactrocera neohumeralis, 6565 nucleotides long. RefSeq lists it as uncharacterized. Lineage: Eukaryota; Metazoa; Arthropoda; Insecta; Diptera; Tephritidae. The transcript has 2 exons. The record is from RefSeq and is a predicted model, not a curated record.